RNAcentral lists this long non-coding RNA (5085 nucleotides) under Sus scrofa (pig). RNAcentral describes it as "lncRNA (ENSSSCG00035047223.1)". The record is from RNAcentral. Lineage: Eukaryota; Metazoa; Chordata; Mammalia; Artiodactyla; Suidae.
ACCACAGCUUGUGGCAAUGCCGGAUCCUUAACACACUGAUGGAGGCCAAGGAUAGAACCUGCAUAGUCAUGGAUACUAGUCAGAUUCGUUACCUCGGAGCCACAAUGGGAACACCCCCAGGUUUCCUUAACCUUCCCAGCAGGCUGCUGCAUCCUGAAUCUUGCUCAAGUGGUAGUGCCUGUCUUCACCCACCUUUGCCUCCCAUGCCAGCCACAUCCUUCCCACGUUUGCACACAGUGCUGCUGCUGAGUUUAUAAACAGUUCAGCACAAAGUGGACCUUCCAUGGUGACAAUCAGCACAAGGACCCUCAGUAAAUACUGAUUGGUAUCAAUAGGAGGCGCGGACUGCUUUCUGUUUCACACCGAAGUAAACUCUGCCCCAUCCUCCUGGAGCUCCCGCCCUUCCCCAGGCAUCUGGACACUAAGUUUAAUCUCCAGCCAAAUGAAAGGCUCUGGCCCAGGGACAGCUAGGCAGGUGGUUUCUGUGCUUGCAGCUCUCUGCAGAUUACAAAGCCUCCAAAGAGUUAGAAUCAACAAACACCCCGGGAUCCUUGAAGAAAACGGCUGAACACGUGCAGGUCACCGCCUUGCAAAAGCGACACUCAAAUCAGGACAAGCUCAGUCUAAAAAUAGACGCACCUGAAUUAGGACAUGAGAAGGUAUCAGAAGGCACAGGAGUGCCACACCUAGCUCACAGGUUUGCUUGCUGGGCUGGGACAGCCAGUGCCCUGGCUGUGAGGCAACACAAAGAUGGCACAGGCGUACUUGUUCACCUCUUGCUCAAAGGCAAGGAGGGACCCAGUGGGAGCAGAAAUCAGGCCUCAGAACCCAACUGAGGGCCCAGAAAGGCACUCUCCCAUCCCACACAACUGCAGCUGGGGUGGAGAGGCCAACCCCUGGAUCCAGCCAACAGUCUCUGAAUGAUGCCAGGGAGAUGUGCCUGCUCCAGGCAGGGCAACCACAGCUGCCAACAUGGACACCAAGCCCUGUGCUAGAAUGGACCCAUUAUGAAGGCUUUUUGUUUUGUAAACACAUCCAGAAAAUGUCCAUAAAAAACAAUGGAAAAAAACAAAUUCCAGCCUAAAAAAACCCCAACAGCUUGCCCUCCAAGGACUAAGUCUUUAGCCUUCACAAGCACUUCAGCAAACUACAGGCGCACACAGGGGCCCAGACCUCCGCUCCAAAGGCCCCCACCACGUGCAUGUUGACAUGCCUGCAGCCCCUGCCACGCCAACCUCCCUCCAAUCACUUCUUCUUCAGAACAAGAGGCUCUGAAUAAAGUGUUCCUGAACAAAGCAUUGGUCUGAAGGUGCCCUGUAGAAAGGGAAAUUGCUCUGCUGACAGAGCGGACAACAGGACUGUGCUCAGAGAGGGCUAAGUGUUCACGAACCUGUCUGUGUACUGCUGGUCCUUUCAUCUGUUUUUCAAAAACACGUCUAAGAACAAUAUUUCUCUCUAUGCAAGAUGAGUGUUGAAACAAAGAAAAAUUAAAUAUCAACACACACACACAUCCCAGCACAUGUAUGCGCGCACGCACACACACACACACACACACACACACACACAGCAGCAGCAGCACACAGAUCAGGACUCUCUCAUACCCUCAGCUGUCCAUCUUUGACACUCUGGCCUGCAGGGAUCAAAUGAUGUGCUCAUAAGCCUUCAGGGUGUUUUAGUUCAACCCAAAAAUGCCCUUUUCUUGCGGAGAGAGUUUGGAAAGUUCGCCUGCCUCUAGGCUGAAUGUCUGGAUACAAGACUCAGAGGAAGAUGGUUCUCUUGGCUGAGCGCCCAGAGGACAAGCAGCAAGGAACAGAGGAGACCCCCGACCUCAGGGUUCCCUGCCUCUGCGGCACAGGUCUGGGGCUGGUGACCUGGUUAAUUAGGGACUACAAACAAAAUCUGGGGAGAACCCAAGGAUACAGCUGCUCUAGAAAGGAGCAAGUAUAGUGGGCUCUGCUCAUCCUCUUCCUUUGUGUGGACUUGACAGUUGCAAUCUAAGAAAAUCUAGCAAUUUCAAAGGGAAAGAUAUUUUCUCAACUAGAGGGUCAGCAACAGGAGGGUAGCUGCCACCUCUUCCCAACAUUCCUUUGCAUCACUGCACAGUCCUAGAAACAUCCAACAGACAUUUUUUAGAGAAAGUAAAGGUGUCCAAUGAAGUCCCCUAGCACUUUCUUUUUUUUUUUAAAUUUAAAAAAGUUUUCCUUAUGGCUGCAUAUAGAAGUUCCUGGGCGAGGGAAUGAAUCUGAGCCACAGCUGUGACCUGCACCGCAGCUGCAGCAAUGCCAGAUGCUUUAACCUACUCCAUCAGUCUGGGGAUCAAACCUGUGCCUCCACAGUGACCCAAGCCACCACGUAGUGGGAUUCUUAACCCACUCUCCCAUAGUGGGAACUCUCUCCCUGCUAGUGCUUUUAAAGGAAAUAGGAACAUCCCAAGACCACCUCUCUUCCAACAACUAAGCACAUUUUCACCACUUCAGGCUUUCUCUGUGCCCUACAUUUUGCUGAACUUACCCUCUGUAGAUGCUAAUCCCCACCAGGCUCACUGUAAAUAUUUCAUGCUGCCCCCACCUCCCUUACAAGUACUUGUCAGAAUUACUGAGGCUGCUAGACUGAAUUCAGGUUUGCUUCACCAGCUUUCCAUGUCACUUCUGUGUUACAAAGGUGCACUGUGCAUAGUGCAGCCUCAAUUUCAACUCAGCUUCCAGCUGGAACAAAACCAAUCUUUCUCCCUGGAUGCUUGCCUCAUUUUCUUCAUUGAAGAAAAUGGCAUUAGGCGUUCCCGUCAUGGAGCAGUGGUUAACGAAUCUGGCCCAUGGGGUUGUGGGUUCAAUCCCUGGCCUUGCUCAGGAUCAAGAACCCACGUGGUCAUGGAUACUAGCUGAAUUCGUUGCCGGCUGCACCACAAUAGGAACUCCCAGGAACGGAAUCUUUAGUAUGAAUCACUAGGGAUGACAAUGUAGUGAGUUUUUGUCAUGAGUGAUUUGAACUUACAAAACUCCAAGUUGCCUUAAAAAAAAAAAAAGUUUCAGGGCUUAAUGGGCAUGAGCUGCUUGAACAGAGAAUUUUUCUAGCUUUCCAAUUCUGGAAUUGUAGCCUUGGAGAAGUUCAUGGAGGCACUUUGCGGUUGGGCUGGUGCCAGGGAAGAGCUGCAGACACUGGGGGCCGUGUCACUGAGAUGCAGGGAGAGGCAUCUGGCUCCAACUCUCAACAGCAGAGAGGGAUGCUGCUGGUGGGGCGGGGGGGGGGUGACCCAAUUAAAAUGCAAAUGACUCCUCUGCUUGUUGCUGCUCAAUGAACCCUGAAGGAAAAUUAAUACAUAUACCACAAGCCCCUGGCCAAAUUAAGACUUUGUGACGACCAGGGAAGUGCAAACUAAGAUCUUUCUUGGUGACUUUAAUACUCUGCAAGAUUCCUAAGGAUCAGAUUUGGUGUUUUUCCCCCAGUCAUCUCAAGUUUCUUAAACUUUAAUCUGCUUAUUCACCUGAUGAUGCAGACUAGCCUAUAAUUACCAAACUAAGAAAAACGGAAACCCACGUUGGCUGCAAGAACCGUGGGGGGAGGAGGGGAAAGGUGGGAAUAGUGAUUUCUUACAUGGACAAGAAGUUAAAAUUUAAGAAUCGCCUGCCAGACACUGUGUCCAGAGUUUGAGCAUUUCAUUCUGACAAUCUUAGCAUCUCAGCAUCUGUAUCUUUUCCAAUUUUACAGACUAGGUAGCUAGUCAGAGACAUGAAUGACAGUUGCCUGAAGUGGCCCAUUUGAUAAGGAGACCAGCGGCUAAUUCUUGGGUUCGUGUUCCUUUCACUACGAUAUUAUUUCCCCAGUCAACACGCUUCCCUCAAGUCUUUAUUAUUUUCAGAUCUUCCACACAAUGCUCUUCUCAAAAGCAAUCAACGCCUGAAGCCUAAAAGAAGUAUGCAAUGUAUUUCUUAUAAAGAAGAAAGAUGCUGGCCCUUCUUUCACUUGUUACUUUUGUCAUCACUUAUCAGGAUGUGGGACCCCAGAUGAAAGCCCUGGGUGAAGAGAGGGACUCGGGAAUGAAGGUGGGACUGGAGGUACCCAGGCGCUGGAGCAUCUCCAACCAGCACCCCAACACCAGCAGAAAGACUUCUGCUAUUAAAACAGAACUUGGCUAGAUGUUUGUUUUUUUUGUCUUUUGCCUUUUUAGGGCUAUACCCACAGCAAGUGGAAGUUCCCAGGCUAAGAGUCGAAUUGGAGCUACAGGUGCUGGCCUACAACACAGCAACACCAGAUUCGAGCUGUGUCUACAACCUGCACCACAGCUCACAGCCACACCAGAUCCUUAACCCACUGAGCGAGGCCAGGGAUGGAAAUUGCAUCCUCAUGGAUACUAGUCAGAUUUGUUUCCACUGACCCAUGAUGGGAACUCCUUGGCUAGAUGUUAAAGAGGUUGCCAGGAUAUGACAAAAGUAGUUAGAAAAUAAAUACUUCGUGUAUACUUUGUGUUAAAAUUCAUAAAAAAGACUCUUCUGAAAACAACUGGAGGAGUGAAAUUGUUACAAUCCCCUCUAAGCCUUACAGAUGCUUUAUUACACUUGUCUACUAGGUUGAUAAAGAUGAGAAGGGGAAGGGUUCUAGGCUAGAAGACACUUUGAGAUUAUAGGUUUUGUGUGCAGUUUAUUCAAUAUUACAUGUAUGUAAACUUAAAUCCUUAUUUUAAAAAAAUCUAAUCUUUCUAGAUAUUUAAAAGUGUACAACAUCUGUUAAAAGUAAACAGGAGUUCCCAACAUGGCGCAGCGGUUAAGGAAUCCAACUAGGAACCAUGAGGUUGUGGAUUCAGUCCCUGCCCUUGCUCAGUGGGUUAACGAUUUGGCAUUUGCCAUGAGCUGUGGUGUAGGUCACAGACGCAGCUCGGAUCCCGUGUCGCUGUGGCUCUGGCGUAGGCUGGUGGCUACAGCUCUGAUUAGACCCCUGGGCUGGGAACCUCCAUGUGCCACGGGAGCAGCCCAAGAAAAGGCAAAAAGACAAAAACAAAAACAAAAAAAACUUUCACUUUUCUAAAAGUUCCUUGGGACAAUAAAGGAGUUACACCUAAAAAAAAAAAAAAAAAAAAAAAAAAAAAAAGUA